Molecule: ribosomal RNA, 301 nt
Filed under: uncultured bacterium
Lineage: Bacteria
Description: partial 16S ribosomal RNA
Rfam family: Bacterial small subunit ribosomal RNA
Source: RNAcentral
CAGCCGCCGCGGGAAUACGAAGGGGGCUAGCGUUGUUCGGAAUUACUGGGCGUAAAGCGCACGUAGGCGGAUCGAUCAGUCAGGGGUGAAAUCCCAGGGCUCAACCCUGGAACUGCCUUUGAUACUGUCGAUCUGGAGUAUGGAAGAGGUGAGUGGAAUUCCGAGUGUAGAGGUGAAAUUCGUAGAUAUUCGGAGGAACACCAGUGGCGAAGGCGGCUCACUGGUCCAUUACUGACGCUGAGGUGCGAAAGCGUGGGGAGCAAACAGGAUUAGAUACCCCAGUAGUCCCUGUCUCUUAUAC